GAUGAAGAACGUAGUGAAAUGCGAUAAGUAAUGUGAAUUGCAGAAUUCAGUGAAUCAUCGAAUCUUUGAACGCACCUUGCACCCUUUGGAAUUUUCCAAAGGGUAUGCUCGUUUGAGUGUCAUUGUACUCUCACACUCUCCGAUCCUUUGGAUAUGGGGAGCGGUGGACUUGGGUGCUUGCUGCUUCCUUGUGGCUCACCUGAAAUGCGUCAGUGCAUCUCUUGAUUGGACAUAGUACGGCGUGAUAAGUGUCUUCGCCGGCACCUCAUAAGAGGGUGGCCGAUCGGGAGCUCUGUGCUUUCAAAUCGUCUUCGGACAAUCCCUGACAACUUGACCUCAAAUCGAGUAGGACUACCCGCUGAACUUAAGCAUAUCAAUAAGCGGAGGA
RNAcentral lists this unclassified non-coding RNA (388 nucleotides) under soil metagenome. RNAcentral's name for it is "partial contains 5.8S ribosomal RNA, internal transcribed spacer 2, and large subunit ribosomal RNA". The stretch from base 1 to 122 matches the Rfam family "5.8S ribosomal RNA", at positions 35 to 154 of the family's 154-position model. The record is from RNAcentral.